CCAGCACUUUGGGAGGCCAAGGCAGGUGGAUCAUUUGAGGUCAGGAGUUUGAGAGCACCCUGGCCAACAUGGUGAAAACCCUGUCUCUAUUAAAAAUACAAAAAUUAGAUAGGUGUGGUGGUACACACCUGUAAUCCCAGCUACUCAGGAGGCUGAGGCAGGAGAAUUGCUUGAACCUGUGAGGAGGAGGUUGCAGUGAGCUGAGAUCGUGCCACUGCACUCCAGCCUGGGUAACAGAGCAAGACUCUGUCUCAAAAAAAAAAAAAAA
Molecule: long non-coding RNA, 268 nt
Filed under: Homo sapiens (human)
Lineage: Eukaryota; Metazoa; Chordata; Mammalia; Primates; Hominidae
Description: HSALNT0369016
Source: RNAcentral